Molecule: transfer RNA, 68 nt
Filed under: Echinotriton chinhaiensis (Chinhai spiny newt)
Lineage: Eukaryota; Metazoa; Chordata; Amphibia; Caudata; Salamandridae
Description: tRNA-Glu
Rfam family: tRNA
About the family: Transfer RNA (tRNA) molecules are approximately 80 nucleotides in length. Their secondary structure includes four short double-helical elements and three loops (D, anti-codon, and T loops). Further hydrogen bonds mediate the characteristic L-shaped molecular structure. tRNAs have two regions of fundamental functional importance: the anti-codon, which is responsible for specific mRNA codon recognition, and the 3' end, to which the tRNAs corresponding amino acid is attached (by aminoacyl-tRNA synthetases). tRNAs cope with the degeneracy of the genetic code in two manners: having more than one tRNA (with a specific anti-codon) for a particular amino acid; and 'wobble' base-pairing, i.e. permitting non-standard base-pairing at the 3rd anti-codon position.
Source: RNAcentral
GUUUUUGUAGUUGAGUACAACGUUGAUUUUUCAGGUCAGAGCCCCUGGUUAGAGCCCAGGUGAAAAUA